UGCCCAGGACGGGACAACUGGAACAUGAACUAACACAGAGGUCAGGUUUUAUGGAUGAAACUACUCUGUGAAGAUGAGGAGCUAAACCCUGAGCUCUCCUCAGCCCUGCUUCAUGUAGAGUUUAGAGAAAGACUUUCUUUAAUGGGCCCAAGAAGCUUUUUCAAUUAAGAGGACAUUUAUGUUGUUUGUGUUUGAACUUAUUGUUUUGUUAUAUUGAAAGUAUUUUUGAAAUACAGUAAUUAUUAUUUAAA
This is a non-coding RNA of Labrus bergylta (ballan wrasse), 251 nucleotides long. The record is from RefSeq and is a predicted model, not a curated record. NCBI's taxonomy places the organism in Eukaryota, Metazoa, Chordata, Actinopteri, Labriformes, Labridae.